Hyaena hyaena (striped hyena) is the source of this 1566-nucleotide long non-coding RNA. RefSeq lists it as uncharacterized. The transcript is spliced from 2 exons. NCBI's taxonomy places the organism in Eukaryota, Metazoa, Chordata, Mammalia, Carnivora, Hyaenidae. The record is from RefSeq and is a predicted model, not a curated record.
UCCCCACACCCCGGACGGGGGGGGGGGGGGUUGCUCAGGUCCCAGAGAGAAUGCCCUUAUCCCGCAUGAUCCCUCACCCCGAAUCCCCCAGGGUCCUGCUCCCCGUGGCUGUCUCCCAGUGUCUGCUCUCUCUGGUGCCACUGCAGGGGCUCUGCCUGUCUGUGAUCCUGCCUCCACCAGAUUCGAGGUCUGGGGAGACGGGAGCUGCCCUGUCCCCCUCUUCUAGGCUCCUGGCUUCCCCUUCCUCCGCUCAAAGCCUGGAGGCCACCUUGGCCUUGCCAAGAAAUAGCCAACUCCUGAGAUUCUGCAGGACAUCAGGCACUGGUUGAGGGGCACACAGCCGGGGGCGCUGCGAGGUUAUCCAGGGGUCUGGAGAAACGCUUAGUGGAGACAUGUAGCCUUGGGAGGUUUGAACCUCCAGAACUGGAGCCAACUUCCUGAGAUUAGAACCUGUGUGUAUGUGAGAGUGUGUGCGUGUGCAUGCAGGCACGUGUGUGAGUGCAUAUGUGUGAGUGCACUGUGUGCAUACAUGCACAUGUGUAUGGGUAGGUGUGCGCAUGAGCGCACAUGUGGAUGUUCAUGGGUGAGUGCAGCUGUGUGAGUGUAUGUACACGUGUGGUCGUACCUGUGAGUGCGUGUGUGUGUGUAUGUGACCGUGCACUUGUCUGUUCCCCUUGGUUGCCAGGCCAAUGACUGCCCCUCUCUGCAUCCUGUCUUAUUUUUGUAUGUAAUGGUCUGUGGCUGCUUCCCUGCAAGGGGCCAGCCUGUCCCCUUGUAAAUAAAUGUCCUAAAGCUCCUUGCCCCUUGCCUGGGGCUGCCAGCUUGGCUCUCCUUCCUGGUCUUUCCCCUGCCUACAGAGUCUUCCCCACCUUCUGAUUCUACUGUGUACAUUCUAGGAGAAGAGAAGCUGGAGGUCUAGGAGAGCCAGCCUUCUGGGACCUUCUGUGUCCCUCCCCCAAGCUCCCCGUGACAAGGCAACAGGGCCACACAUGCUGCCCGUUCAGCCCACCCAGGCUCUGGAGCUCUCCAAAGCUGUGUAAACAAGGCUUCUGUGGAUGUUCAAAGGAACUGGCAACCUGCAGGGGAAAAGGCAAACUCCUUUCUUCAAAGGGAAGGGAAGCAUCCCACCAAUGAGGCCCCACUUGCCAAGGCUCAGGGCGGCCAGUGGGAAGGAAGCAGCCCCGGCCCUGUGCCCUGAAGACGGACAGAGAGAGGCUGCCUGCCCCAGCCGGCAGGAGGUGCUACCAGUGCAUGUGAAAGACCAGCUGCUGCAGGUAGCUUUCUGGAACCAAAGCGGGGCCUGAUUGUUUUUGGACAAGAGAGCAGUGUGUGGGAGGGAGGUGCCUACCCAGGGAGCUGGAGAAGGCAGCUCCUGAGCCUGAGGGGGGCAGGUCCUGGUCCAAGGAUCCCCCAUAGAGGGCUGCAGCCUGGCCCAUGCCCAUUCUGGCCCACUGUGUGGCCGGGCCUUACAUCUGACCUGUGCCUCUCCUGUGGGAUCGCCGGGCACAGGUGAUGCAGUGGCCUUUGUUUUUAUUAUUUCUUUUUCCAAUAAAAGGACUUGCCCAG